GCGAGACCGAUAGCGAACAAGUACCGUGAGGGAAAGAUGAAAAGAACUUUGAAAAGAGAGUUAAAGAGUACCUGAAACUGCUGAAAGGGAACCGAAUCGUUUCCAGUGUCUUUGAUCCGUUGCAUAUUUCAUCUGUGAAUGUGUGCGUUCGGGCUAGUUUGCAGCGGUCUUUGAUUGCGCGGCUGGCUUGUUGUGCGUGCGUUUGUGGGUGCCCUGUGCAAUGGUGUGACGUCAAGGUGAGUUCGUAUGCUGCGGGAAAUGGCCGUUUAGGAGGUAGGUCUUGAGCUCCGCUCUUGGCUAUUAUAUCUAGGCGGACGAGUCGUCGCGGUUGGGACUGAGGUGCUUACAACGUGCUUUUGAGUGUGUGCGUGUCUCCGAUGCUGCUGUGUGCGGAUAGCUUGCUCUGCGUAUGCGGUUAGUGUUGGAUUGAUGCGUGCUGUAACUUGUUGCCGUUCGGGACCUUGACGAAAUGGAGCGAUCCGACCCGUCUUGAAACACGGACCAAGGAGUCUAACACGCAUGCAAGUGUUGGGGUGUGGAAACCCAAACGCGAAAUGAAAGUAAAGGGCGCCGUUGGGCGUCUGAGGUAGGAAAUUCUGGCUUUGUUCAGGAUGGCACUAUCGACCGAUCAUGAACCUUCGUGGUGAAAGAUUUGAGUUAGAGCAUGUGUGUUGGUACCCGAAAGAUGGUGAACUAUGCCUGAGUAGGGUGAAGCCAGGGGAAACUCUGGUGGAAGCUCGUAGCGAUUCUGACGUGCAAAUCGAUCGUCAAACUUGGGUAUAGGGGCGAAAGACUAAUCGAACCAUCUAGUAGCUGGUUCCCUCCGAAAUUUCCCUCAGGAUAGCAGCAACUUUUUUACGAUAGUUUUAUGAGGUAAAGCGAAUGAUUAGAGGCCUCGGGGAAGAAACUUCCUCGACCUAUUCUCAAACUUUAAA
This 935-nucleotide ribosomal RNA is filed under the name Halophytophthora sp. RNAcentral describes it as "partial large subunit ribosomal RNA". It matches the Rfam family "Eukaryotic large subunit ribosomal RNA", at positions 328 to 1069 of the family's 3401-position model. Lineage: Eukaryota; Oomycota; Peronosporomycetes; Peronosporales; Peronosporaceae. The record is from RNAcentral.